CCAAUAGCGUAUAUUAAAGUUGUUGCAGUUAAAAAGCUCGUAGUUGAACUUCGGGGUCUACCCAUUGGUCAGGCUUAAUUGUCUGUACUGGUGAGAUGGAUCUCUACCUUCUGAGGAACUUUCAUGCCAUUUAUUUGGUGUGGUUGGAAAUCAGGACUGUCACUUUGAAAAAAUUAGAGUGUUUAAAGCAGACUAUCGUCUGAAUACAUUAGCAUGGAAUAAUGAAAUAGGACGGACUGAUUCUAUUUCGUUGGUUUCUAGGAUCACCGUAAUGAUUAAUAGGGAUAGUUGGGGGCAUUAGUAUUCAAUUGUCAGAGGUGAAAUUCUUGGAUUUAUUGAAGACUAACUACUGCGAAAGCAUUUGCCAAGGAUGUUUUCAUUAAUCAAGAACGAAAGUUAGGGGAUCGAAGACGAUCAGAUACCGUCGUAGUCUUAACCAUAAACUAUGCCGACUAGGGAUCGGACGAAGUUAAUUUUAUAAUGACGCGUUCGGCACCUUACG
Molecule: ribosomal RNA, 502 nt
Filed under: uncultured Glomeromycotina
Lineage: Eukaryota; Fungi; Glomeromycota
Description: partial small subunit ribosomal RNA
Rfam family: Eukaryotic small subunit ribosomal RNA
Source: RNAcentral